UAUUCUGCCCCACGGGGAAGGAUGAGAAGCUUCGACUAAGGUUCGACUCGAGCGAAGCGAGAGAACGUUGCCGCAGGCAACGGCCCGAAGGGCGAGGAGAGAUAGCGACGAGUUAUCCUUCCCCCACCACCA
RNAcentral lists this small RNA (132 nucleotides) under Klebsiella pneumoniae. RNAcentral describes it as "RtT sRNA". It matches the Rfam family "RtT RNA". From Rfam's summary of the family: This family represents a bacterial cis-regulatory element known as RtT RNA. Lineage: Bacteria; Pseudomonadati; Pseudomonadota; Gammaproteobacteria; Enterobacterales; Enterobacteriaceae. The record is from RNAcentral. RNAcentral also lists the same sequence under 1 other name.